AACGUAGGUGGCAAGCGUUAUCCGGAUUUACUGGGCGUAAAGGGUGUGCAGGCGGGGGUGCAAGUGGGGUAUGAAAUCUCCCGGCUUAACCGGGAGGGGUUAUGCCAGACUGCAAUUCUAGAGGACGAGAGAGGGGGGUGGAAUUCCGGGUGUAGUGGUGAAAUGCGUAGAGAUCCGGAGGAACCCCAGAGGCGAAGGCGGCCCCCUGGCUCGUACCUGACGCUCAGACACGAAAGCAUGGGGAGCGAACGGG
Molecule: ribosomal RNA, 253 nt
Filed under: uncultured bacterium
Lineage: Bacteria
Description: partial 16S ribosomal RNA
Rfam family: Bacterial small subunit ribosomal RNA
Source: RNAcentral